GGAGAGCUCAGGGAACAGAGGACAGAGAAAGGGGUUGUGGAAGGUCUCUUCACUUGCAUUAGAAAUGAGUGGGCUUUGGCAACCCCAGAAAGCAGUCCAUGUGCACAUACAUCGGGUCUGUGGAUCCCAGACAUGGCCUCACUGCGCGCCUGCUGUACAUGGUUUUCAGAUGACAAAUGUGAUUACGCUGUCCUAAGGAGAGCUUUUUGCUGUACUGCAAUGAGCAGCUGACAGCCCCACGGGGUGGUGGGAAGCAGGAUCAGCCAGGCUUCAGCAUGGACUAUCAUCUCAGUGGGUUUUAUGAUGCCACAGAACCAACCAGGUUUCCUGCUUAACAGCAAAUGACGACGGUGAGAAGAUGAAGACAACAAAACAGCCUAGAGGUUUGCUGUUCCUGCUGUGAGCAGGCAGGAAGUCUGCAGGGUUCCUCCAGGGAAAGGGGCCUCCAAAAUCCUUCUGUGAUGAAACACUUCAGUGGUAAACUGAGGCCCAAUCCCUACCAGCCUGCAAGUACAAUUUAGAGGAAAGAUGGUUGUGUGAGAUGGAGGCAGGGAAAGAGGAAGCUCCAGAAGACAAAAGGGUGGUUGACAGUGAUCCAUACUUGGCUACCAUUUUGGAGCAUCCUUGGAAAGAUGCAGAGGAGUGGAAACAGAGGGAACCAGGCCUACCAUCCUCUCUGUUCCCAUGGUGAGAGAAUGUGUUGCUACUGCAUCAUACCUGCAGCUGUUGAUAUGCCUCAAUAUGCAGCACCUGUGAUUCCCUGAUACCAGAAGUCAGGCCAUAUUGAAAUGGCUGAAAUGGCUCCAAAACCAGGGCUUUUGGUGUCUGGCACUGGAAGGUAUUUAUCUCAAUGCAUGUGAAAAGACGACACAAAUGAAAUCUGCAGCCAAAUUGGUGACUAUUUGGAAAAUAUUGUAUGAAAACAACACAUUAACUCCCCAGUAAGUCAAACCAGCAUCUUUUCAUGUACUCAGUUUCUUCAAAACAUGUGUAGGUCACUCAGAAAGUAAUGCCUCCUAUUUAUUUCCAUGGAAACUACAACAUAUACGAAGAGCACAAUAACACUGUUUGAUAGAGCGAAUUGUCAGCUACAAAACACUAUUUUUCAACAUGGUCACCACUAUUAGCUAUGCAUUUUCACCAGUAAUGAACAAGAGCCUGCAUGCUACAUUCAUGAAAAUCUGCACCAGCAGAGGUGACCCACUGUUUCAAAGCUGUUAUGAUUGUGUUACUGCUAGGAAGAUGUUGCCCAUGCAGUCCAUUUUUCAUCAACCCAAACAGGUAGAAGUCAGAAAGUGCCAAAUUUGGACUACACAGUGGGUACAGUAGAACAGUCCAGCCAUGAUUGGUAAUAUGUUCCAUGGUCUUCAAACUGGGAUAGGCCCUGAUGUUACUGCGUUGCAAGAGAAAGGUUGUCCUUCUCUGGUCUGACUCUGAAAGUUUAAGCCUUCAGCUUAGUCAGUUUGAUGAUGCAGUGGUCAGAGUUGAUGGUUUACCCAGGUUCCAGGAAAUCCACAAGGAUCACUGCUUUCCUAUCCCAAAAGACAGUGCACAUCACUUUACCUCCUGAGAGCAGCAUCUUGAAAUUUUUCUUUGAUGGGAAAUUUGAAUGUCAUCAUUCCAUGGACUGCCAUUUUGACUCUAGCUCGUAGUGGUGACACCAUGUCUCAUUGCCAGUAAUGAUAUGAUCCAAGAAGCUGUCACCUUCAGUCACGUAUUUGUUCAAUAGAGCCUGAAAAACUUGCAUAUGGUGUUCUUUAUGUGCCUGUGUGAGCAUUCAUGGGACAGACCUACCAGGAGCAAUCUUUGUGACAUUUAACCUUGCCACCAUUUCCAACACACUGAAGCCAAUAUUCGGCUCCAUACACUCUGUUGCCUAAUCUUAAUCUGCCAGUUCAUGUGGAUGAGCUGAUCAAGACCCUCCUCAUUUUGUACCGUGACAGCUGUGCAUGUCCAUCUGGAAUGUAGCUUAUUUCUCAUGUCGCAGCCGCCACUACUGAAACACACCACCCACCACCUCACUGUGCUCACAUCCACUGUUUGGUCUCCACAAGUUUUUAGUAAGCCUUGAUGAAUAUCAGGGCCACUUUUUUCCACAUGGAGUUGUUCAGUAACACAGCUUUGACAUUUCCAUGUCAGACGCCAUUCUGUCAGAUUGUACCUCUGCUGUCACCUGUUGCACGGCAACAAAAUAUUGGAUAUUGGUGGGAACUUUCAGCUCCUACUGUCAUACCACCAACAUCUGCUUCUGAUGUUGUGGGCCAACAUAAUAAAAUUGAAGGCCUCUACUUUCUGAGCAGCCCUUGUAAAAAUCCCUUUUUUGGAGGAAUUUUCUCACGAGUGUAGGUAAAAUCAGAGGACGAGGGAGGUUGUCCAUACUUCUAGAAACAGAUCUGUAGUGACACAACAAAAAUAAGUUCAGUGAAUGUUGGAUUCACAUUUUUUGCUUCUUUCCUGUCUGCCUUUGCUAUUCAGAAGUCUCCAUUCUUCUGCUUGAAGCAAGCAGCCCGAUGCCUCUCAGGGCUUGCCCUCAUCUCUGCAGCUCAAGAGAAAUUGAGCUGCAGAGCUUUUCAGAAAUCCUAUCCAGAAUUGUCAGUGGAGCUCCCAGGCAAGAAAAAAGUGAACCAGUUGUGCAUCGUGUCAUGCCACAGGAGCCAUCACCUGAGUCUAAGCCUGGCACUUCAGGCUGUUCACAGUGCAGGGUGGGAGCUGGAGCAGGAGGCUGGCAGUGGUAGCCUGGGAUGUUCCCGGUGAAAUCACAUAUCCCAAGCUUCACCUAUGUAAAUAUUUGCUUUUUUAACCCAAUGAAAGGGAAAUACAGGAAGUAGCAGAAAUGAUGAUGUGAAUUCAGAAGACAUGCAUGGGUGCAACUGCCCAGAUAAAGAUUCUGCAAAGAGCAAUCCAUUCCAGUUACAGUUCAGAAAUGUUUGAGCUUAUCUUUCUAGUUCACAGUAGAAGAAUGAGUCUUAUCUUAAGCAAAAUGUGCUAGAUCAUUACUAAUCAUAAUGGAAUUUUUCAAUUUGAUGAAAUUGAUCUGGCCCUAGUGGUUAUUGCUAAAGUAUCAAAAAAAAUAACCUCCUGCUAUCAGCUCAAGUCUGUGGUGAAUCACUAGUUUCCUAUAUCUUCUUCUUCAAAAAAAGGUUUGAAAUGCCUAUACUAUUGCCUAUACUGAUUAUUUUUUAGACCUUGGUGUUUUGGAAAGGAAUUACUAGAUAUUUAUCUUUUUUUUUUUUUUUUUUUUUGUAAGACUGCAUAUCUUACUGAUGCUAAAAAUAAAAGUAAUUCAAACUGACUGAGUUAUAGAAUUAUUGUUACCAUACCGAAAAUGUCACUGUGACAGAAUAACAAAUUCUAGAAUAAUGAGCCACAGACAUCUGCUGGUUUCUGAACUGUUACCAUUCUUCCACUGCCGUAGGUUUGUAUGAUGGCUCUGCUGUUGUCAUCGCUGGUGCGUGAUCUGCAUCAUCUAGUUACAGCUAAAUGUUUACCAAGAUGAGAAGUCACAGUGUUCAAGAGUGACUGAGAGGCAGGUUGCUAGUGAACAGACCAGAUAAGCAGAGUGAGAAGGCAGCAGCUGCAGCUCAGCAUCCCCACUGUUACAAGAGGAAUGCCGCCUAUAUGGUUUCUAUAAGCUGCCUUUAAAUACAAGACUCUCAGAAAAAUCCAGGAAACAGAAGAGUGGGAAGGUGCUGAGAGGGAAGUGGGAAGCUUAGAUCUGCUUACAGCUCUGCCCCGACCCUCUGACCUUCUGCAAGUCACUGCCACGCUCUGCCCUCCUAUACAUACCUUUGUCCUUAGUGCUGCUCUGACAGCACAAAGAGUAACCUGAGAGAUGUCCCAAGCAAAAGGAGAACCUUGUAAUCUA
Long non-coding RNA from Gallus gallus (chicken), 3865 nucleotides. RefSeq lists it as uncharacterized. The record is from RefSeq and is a predicted model, not a curated record. NCBI's taxonomy places the organism in Eukaryota, Metazoa, Chordata, Aves, Galliformes, Phasianidae. The transcript is spliced from 4 exons.